RNAcentral lists this transfer RNA (75 nucleotides) under Gammaproteobacteria bacterium. RNAcentral's name for it is "tRNA-Gln". It matches the Rfam family "tRNA". From Rfam's summary of the family: Transfer RNA (tRNA) molecules are approximately 80 nucleotides in length. Their secondary structure includes four short double-helical elements and three loops (D, anti-codon, and T loops). Further hydrogen bonds mediate the characteristic L-shaped molecular structure. tRNAs have two regions of fundamental functional importance: the anti-codon, which is responsible for specific mRNA codon recognition, and the 3' end, to which the tRNAs corresponding amino acid is attached (by aminoacyl-tRNA synthetases). tRNAs cope with the degeneracy of the genetic code in two manners: having more than one tRNA (with a specific anti-codon) for a particular amino acid; and 'wobble' base-pairing, i.e. permitting non-standard base-pairing at the 3rd anti-codon position. The record is from RNAcentral. RNAcentral also lists the same sequence under 8 other names. Lineage: Bacteria; Pseudomonadati; Pseudomonadota; Gammaproteobacteria.
UGGGGAGUGGCCAAGUGGUAAGGCAGCUGACUCUGGAUCAGCCAAUCAGAGGUUCGAAUCCUCUCUCCCCAGCCA